GUUGCCGGCCAAAGGGCGCGGGACCCACCCGAUCCCAUUCCGAACUCGGAAGUUAAACCGUGUUCCGUUUCCGGUGUUAGUAUGGUCUUCGGCCAUGUGAAGCCAGAAAAGCCGGCAGCC
This 120-nucleotide ribosomal RNA is filed under the name Candidatus Bathyarchaeota archaeon. The record is from RNAcentral. Lineage: Archaea; Thermoproteati; Candidatus Bathyarchaeota. RNAcentral also lists the same sequence under 1 other name.